This 253-nucleotide ribosomal RNA is filed under the name uncultured bacterium. RNAcentral describes it as "partial 16S ribosomal RNA". It matches the Rfam family "Bacterial small subunit ribosomal RNA", at positions 524 to 776 of the family's 1533-position model. The record is from RNAcentral.
UACGUAGGGGGCUAGCGUUGUCCGGAAUCAUUGGGCGUAAAGCGCGUGUAGGCGGUCCGGUAAGUCCGCUGUGAAAGUCGGGGGCUCAACCCUCGGAUGCCGGUGGAUACUGUCGGGCUUGAGUACGGAAGAGGCGAGUGGAAUUCCUGGUGUAGCGGUGGAAUGCGCAGAUAUCAGGAGGAACACCAAUAGCGAAGGCAGCUCGCUGGGACGGUACUGACGCUGAGGUGCGAAAGCGUGGGGAGCAAACAGG